AAUAUUGCGCAAUGGGGGCAACCCUGACGCAGCAACGCCGCGUGAUUGAAGAAGGCCUUCGGGUUGUAAAGAUCUUUAAUCAGGGACGAAAAUUGACGGUACCUGAAGAAUAAGCUCCGGCUAACUACGUGCCAGCAGCCGCGGUAAUACGUAGGGAGCAAGCGUUAUCCGGAUUUACUGGGUGUAAAGGGCGCGCAGGCGGGCCGGCAAGUUGGGAGUGAAAUCCCGGGGCUUAACCCCGGAACUGCUUUCAAAACUGCUGGUCUUGAGUGAUGGAGAGGCAGGCGGAAUUCCGUGUGUAGCGGUGAAAUGCGUAGAUAUACGGAGGAACACCAGUGGCGAAGGCGGCCUGCUGGACAUUAACUGACGCUGAGGCGCGAAAGCGUGGGGAGCAAACA
Molecule: ribosomal RNA, 398 nt
Filed under: uncultured bacterium
Lineage: Bacteria
Description: bacterial SSU rRNA
Rfam family: Bacterial small subunit ribosomal RNA
Source: RNAcentral